UACGUAGGGGGCAAGCGUUGUCCGGAUUUAUUGGGCGUAAAGAGCGUGUAGGCGGCCAGGUAGGUCUGCUGUGAAAACCCGAGGCUUAACCUCGUGGCUUGCGGUGGAUACGGGCAGACUAGAGGUAGGUAGGGGAGAAUGGAAUUCCCGGUGUAGCGGUGAAAUGCGCAGAUAUCGGGAGGAACACCGGUGGCGAAGGCGGUUCUCUGGGCCUUACCUGACGCUGAGGAGCGAAAGCGUGGGGAGCGAACAGG
This 254-nucleotide ribosomal RNA is filed under the name uncultured bacterium. RNAcentral describes it as "partial 16S ribosomal RNA". It matches the Rfam family "Bacterial small subunit ribosomal RNA", at positions 524 to 776 of the family's 1533-position model. The record is from RNAcentral.